CAUCGAUGAAGAACGCAGCGAAAUGCGAUAAGUAAUGUGAAUUGCAGAAUUCAGUGAAUCAUCGAAUCUUUGAACGCACCUUGCGCUCCUUGGUAUUCCGAGGAGCAUGCCUGUUUGAGUGUCAU
RNAcentral lists this ribosomal RNA (125 nucleotides) under Agaricus subrutilescens. Its description in RNAcentral is "5.8S ribosomal RNA". It matches the Rfam family "5.8S ribosomal RNA", at positions 31 to 154 of the family's 154-position model. From Rfam's summary of the family: 5.8S ribosomal RNA (5.8S rRNA) is a component of the large subunit of the eukaryotic ribosome. Lineage: Eukaryota; Fungi; Basidiomycota; Agaricomycetes; Agaricales; Agaricaceae. The record is from RNAcentral. RNAcentral also lists the same sequence under 1 other name.